AACGAACGCUGGCGGCAUGCCUAACACAUGCAAGUCGAACGAGACCUUCGGGUCUAGUGGCGCACGGGUGCGUAACGCGUGGGAACCUGCCCUUAGGUUCGGAAUAACUCCCCGAAAGGGGUGCUAAUACCGGAUAAUGUCUUCGGACCAAAGAUUUAUCGCCUUUGGAUGGGCCCGCGUUGGAUUAGCUAGUUGGUAGGGUAAAAGCCUACCAAGGCGACGAUCCAUAGCUGGUCUGAGAGGAUGAUCAACCACACUGGGACUGAGACACGGCCCAGACUCCUACGGGAGGCAGCAGUGGGGAAUAUUGGACAAUGGGCGAAAGCCUGAUCCAGCAAUGCCGCGUGAGUGAUGAAGGCCUUAGGGUUGUAAAGCUCUUUUACCCGGGAUGAUAAUGACAGUACCGGGAGAAUAAGCGCCGGCUAACUCCGUG
This 433-nucleotide ribosomal RNA is filed under the name uncultured bacterium. Its description in RNAcentral is "partial 16S ribosomal RNA". It matches the Rfam family "Bacterial small subunit ribosomal RNA", at positions 29 to 507 of the family's 1533-position model. The record is from RNAcentral.